Molecule: ribosomal RNA, 253 nt
Filed under: uncultured bacterium
Lineage: Bacteria
Description: partial 16S ribosomal RNA
Rfam family: Bacterial small subunit ribosomal RNA
Source: RNAcentral
UACGAAGGGGGCUAGCGUUGCUCGGAAUCACUGGGCGUAAAGGGUGCGUAGGCGGGUCUUUAAGUCAGGGGGGAAAUCCUGGAGCUCAACUCCAGAACUGCCUUUGAUACUGGGGAUCUUGAGUCCGGGAGAGGUGAGUGGAACUGCGAGUGUAGAGGUGAAAUUCGUAGAUAUUCGCAAGAACACCAGUGGCGAAGGCGGCUCACUGGCCCGGAACUGACGCUGAGACGCGAAAGCGUGGGGAGCAAACAGG